GCUCAUUUCCACUCUAAGACCAUUCAAUCCAUCGUGAAAUUGAGAGCACUUAGCAAUGUUGGUGGUGCUUGUUCCCUUGCUAAGGCAAACAACUCCAAACUGCCAUUGAUGCUUAACUAGUACUUUGGGAAUUGUUAUUAGCCACUCUCGGAUAAACAAACCAUAUAUGUUUUAUUUUCAAGUCCUUCAACAUCAGACACAUGUUGUAUUUGUAAUUGAAAAACUAUCUUUAGAUAACACAACCUGAAAGUAAGUCAGUUCUCACUCUCACCUACCAGUGCAUUCGUCAAAUAGUGCAGCCCUGAAGUCUAAUAGUGUGAGUGCAGAUGAUAAAAACUUAUCUUGGCCAAACCUCUUUUGUUCCAAAUUUCAGUGCUUCUAUCUUCCAUCUUCAAAUGAAAAACUUUGGGGGAAACUAUUUAAAGAUUCCUAAUGUUCCCAGGCCGUUUUUGAACACAAAUGGAAAACAACAACAGUCGUUCCCAUCUCAAUCCGCUAACAGUCAACAUCCAUGCUCCCCGAUCAGUUCUCGAUCAAGAGAUUUCCCUCGUGGAUACACAUCUUUCUACACGGAAGAGGUCUCUGGGUUUCGUUCCAAAGAAAAUGGAAAACGAAUCUAUUUCCCGAGAGUUAGCCGGAAGCUCGAAAGGGUUCCUUUUGUUCCUUCCACUUACCGAGGACUCAGCAUUGAACCCUGUCCCUUGCCAGCCACUAAAAGCGUCCAACAAAGUUCGUCCACAUGAAUAGUACACUCGAGGCCCUUUGUUUAUACCGUACAGUCGAGAUAAUCCCUACGUGGUCAAUGCUCUCAGGGCAGCUUUUGCGUUAUAGACACAAUUUGCAAUAAAGGACGAAUCAACAGCGCA
Tigriopus californicus is the source of this 866-nucleotide long non-coding RNA. RefSeq lists it as uncharacterized. NCBI's taxonomy places the organism in Eukaryota, Metazoa, Arthropoda, Copepoda, Harpacticoida, Harpacticidae. The transcript has 2 exons. The record is from RefSeq and is a predicted model, not a curated record.